AAGAUCAAGCAUCGCAUGCUCUACUGACUGAGCCAACCAGGUGCCCCCCACCCCGAAGCUUAUUUUCAUCAUUGGUAAGCCAGGGUAGCAAAAUGAAGCUCCCAGGUCACAGGGAGAAUUAGAGACCGUAUGUUAUAUUAGCACCUGAAGCUAAGAAUUCUUCAUCAUAUAAUGACAUGAUGAUGGUCCCAGGAAUAUAGUUACAUGAUAGAGCCCUGAUUCUCAACCAGAGGGUGGAGGUGGGGAUUCUGUUCCCCAGGGGACACGUGGCAAUGUCAGGAGAUAUUUUUGGUUGUUGUGAUCGGGAGAGGUGGUGCCACUUGCUUCUAGUUGGUGGAGACCGGGGAUGCUGCUCAGCAUUCUACAGUGAACACUGUCAUUUGCUACCUCCUCGGGAGCCUCCCUGUAUGUAAUCUGAAAUCAGCCCCCAUACUGGGAGGGCAGGGCAAGACCAAAGAAAGUCAGGCCAUUUCAUGUGGGGCAGGUUUGAUAAGCAAGGGAACUUACUUACCAGGCUUGUCUUGAUUGGCCACGGACAAUUAGAUCUCCACAUCUACCAGCCAGAAUCUUAACAUUUCUAUAGAGGCCUCAACUGGAUUCAGUCUCAUACACCAUCCAGAUGCUCUUAACACCACAUCACUAUGUCAAGGCUGUGUCCUUUGGGAGCAUCUAGCCCGGGGAAGGCCAGUGGAGUGAACACUCCAAGGACAGGGGAUGGGGAGGGCGAGCCUCUCACUGCCCAGGUCCAGCUGGUGGGUCAAAUCUGCAGUCACGUGUUCUUGAUGACCUCCUCCAACACGCACACCCCACCACAAACAGUGCUCUGGCCCCAAAUAUUAGCAGGGCUGAGGUUGAGAAACCCUGCUCUGGAAACUUAGACUUCAUUUAACACUUGCGGGGACAUCGACAUUGGACGCUCUGAUUCCUGACUCUGGGUGAGCCUGGAAAUAAUAAUAAUUAAUCAUGGCCAACAUUUCAUGGGCCCUUCGCAUGCCCCAGGCAUGGCAUUGGGCUCACCCUGUAAGGGAAUUUUGUUGUCUCGCCAACUCUGGAGAUCGUGAAGAAAACUUAAGCCCAGAGAGGUCAAGUGGCUGGUGCCAGGGGCCUCAUCUAUCUGGACUUCAUUUUUUUCCAUCAGUGGGACAGGAUCACAAUAUCUGACUCCCGGGCACACUGUCCAUGUGGGAUGCCAACCAUCUGGCACCUCACGGACCCUUAACAAAUGGGCUCCACUGUGAUGAGUGUAUUAGCCCGGCACACAAUGGUUAACCAUCGAGUCUGGCUAAGUGCCCAGCUAAGCCAGGGCCCAGGAGCCACACAAUUUCUUUCAUUUUCCCGGUUGCCGGGCGAAUUGGCAGGGAGAGACCUGGGAAGUACCUAAGACAAAAGUUUCUAGGAUUGCCGGGGGCCUGGUUUCCGGGCACCGCUGCACCCAGAAAACUCUCUUCUCCAGCCUACUUCCCCAGAGAAUUUUAAGUUGGCCCUUCUACCACGGAAAGGAGCAAGAGGGAGGCCAGAGCCCCCAAGAAACAUCAGAAGGCAGGCCCGGCAAGGGGCCUCUGUCUUUCCUGGGGAAAUCCAGUCUUGUUCAGUUGCCUGCGGUGACAAAUAGGAGUCAAGGAAGAUGGACAGUUGUGGAUGAGCCCGUUGAUGGGACGAUCAUUUAGUGAGCACCUACUAUGUGCCAAGCAUGCCGACCUUGGCGGACAAAGUCCUUGCACUCAUGGAACUCAUGUUCUUGUGGAGAGACAAGCAGUAAAGAAGCAAGAAGAAACGUAUCAGCUGGUGCCCAUCCUUGAGCGGUUCUCACUGCCAUCUCACAGACGAUGUGGCUGAUGUCCCAGGAGAGAGGCCACUUGCUCAACUCCUCCAGGACAGCGAUGGACGAGCCAGCAUCCCAACCAGGCCCGUGGACACCCAGGCUCCACGUCUCCUGCAGGCAAGGAGAUCUGGCUUGAGUUGCUUUAAAGCUGGUUCCUCAGUUUCUCGGCACUGCUGACAUUCAGGGAUAGAUAACCCUCUCUGGUGGGGCCGUCUUGUGCAUCGUAGGGGGCUGAGCAGCAUCCCCGGGCUCUACCCACUGGACUCCA
Non-coding RNA from Leptonychotes weddellii (Weddell seal), 2090 nucleotides. The record is from RefSeq and is a predicted model, not a curated record. Lineage: Eukaryota; Metazoa; Chordata; Mammalia; Carnivora; Phocidae.